UGCUGACUUGCAAUAUGAGCAGGGCUCCUGGGUUGAAACUGAAACUCAAAUCCCUUUAUGUACAAUUGUGUGAAUUACACAAUGUUCUGGAAAAGUGGUUGAACAAAAGUCUCCAUGUAAGACAUGCCAUGAUCAGUACUUGUUGUGCCAGAAGUGGAGAUGAGGGGGACUGAACCCAUGACCUUAGGAUGCCAAAGCAUACACUUGCCUGCUGAACUGUAUCCUCCACAUGUCAGUUGGACCUCAAGAGAUAAUUGGCAGGUGGUCAUGUGUAAAAGCUCCCCAGUGGAUACGACAAGCACUUGUCUCUUCACACCACAGUCUUGUCUAUCCUAAAAGGAAGCAGUUUCACUGAUCACUUGCCUAUUUUAUCAUAUCCUUCUAAUAACCUGGCUCCCAAUGAAUUUCCAAACAAACUGACACAACCCUUGAGUUAAAGAUAAUAUUAUGGAUUUAAAUAUAACUUUUAAAUGUAUAUUGUACAGCUAAAAUAAAGGUCUCUGAAAUUUCAACAGUUGCAAGUGUUUCUGCUGGAUAUAUAAUCUUUAUCAUACCAGCUUUCUUGUGGUUUGGAUUUACUUUAAAUUGAACAUCUCCAUUCAUGCCAAAGUCAAAAUAUUUGCAUCCGAACUCUUAAAUACAAACAUAUUCACCAGCACCUGUAUGCUCUUUUUCCCGUUACUUUCCUGUUGGCAAUGUUUCUCAUUCAACCAGACCUGUAACACUGCCAAAGCCUUUAAUGUGCUGUUGGUUUACAGUUGCUGCUGGUCUCAUGUCUUCAGUUUAGUAGAUGUCUCUGUAGGCCCCUUGCUUGUUUUAACAUCCCUUAAUAGUUCCUACACUGGUUUUCUGCUCUUUUGGGGCAGGUCUUUUUGUCUUAUUAUCUCACUAAUUAUUGAUCUAAAAAUAUGUGCAGAAAGUACUUUUAAAAAAAUCCUUUCCGGUUUUAUUUAUUUUUUUACUGAUGCUUUCAGAAACUGGCAUUUUUGCCAAACGGUCAACUUGCUUUCCAGAAUUGAUAAUCCUUGCUAUGGGGUUUGACCAAUCAGAGUCAAGUAUUUAACAAACAUGGGGAAUAGGGGAGAAAGCUGGGUAACACUGACAGUUUGAUUGUUGUUAGUCAAUUUAUUGGGUUUGGUUAGCCGUGUCUCUGGACACAUCAACCGACAACAGCUUCUCACUUUUCCUAUUGUCAAUGAAUGUAACAGCGUCACAUGGUUUUGAAACAGCUGGAUGUGCUGGUGCUUCAUUGACUAACAAUUAGCAGCUGUCAUACCCGUAAGAAAUGGAGAUGCUGGGGAUUGAACCCAGGACAUCAAACAGGCAAAACAUGGGCUCUACCACUGAGAUACAUCCAGUGGAUGAAGACCUUCAGACUAAGAACUUCCAACUAGUUAACACAUCUUGUGUCAUUUUUAUGACUGAAAGCCUAAAGCAGUAAUGUCUAAACAUGUCUGAAUCUAUAUUUGGGCAAUUAUAGUGGAGGUUUGAAAAGCUCCGAUAUAGUACUCAUUUGUAGGAUGGACAGCAGGCGCUUUCAUUCAGCAGGGAGCAGUAGAUGAUAAUACACACUUUCAUUAUAGCAUUCAGUGAGCCUUUAUUACUUUGGAUGCAAAAUGACAUAAUUAGAUUAAGAUAAAGGGCAUGUUGUCAGCUGUAAUUAGAGGGUAUUUCUGGCCAUUAUGAAUAAACACAUAAACAACUGCAGACCCUUUUCACACACAGUCUCUUUAUUUCAGGCUGUCAGGUUGGGAGACAGAUUAAAAUGAGCUUUAAUACAUGAGACAGACUUUGCAUGUUUAAUUCUGAAUUCAUAGCCUGUAUCUUCUUGUAUCUUUUUGUCUAUGUGCUGAGGCGUUCCUGUUCAAGGCAAAACGAGGCAAUGCUAAGAAAAAAAAAAUUGAUUUGUUUCUCCUCUUCAAAGACAGAGGAAUUUCAUGGUUUUGAAAGCGUACGUGUGCACACUCACCUUGCUCUGUGGUGCUGAGUGAGGAUAAAACUGUUCCUCCAAUUUUCACCCCAGAAAACGACUGGACCAGAAAACAUCAGGGUCUUCAAUUUUUAAACUGUGAUUUCUCCUCAGGAAGGUUUGCACAGGCAAUUUGUUGCUCAGAUAAAAUAUAUAUAAAACAGCUAUGAGGUUUGUUUGAAAUUCAAGUAGUGUUAUACAAUGAAUUGAAGGUAAAAAUACAGGGGGCUUGCUGCACUUUAGGUACUUAUUACAUACUGCAUUUCAGUGCAAAAAGCUCCUUAAGUACAUUAUGACAUAUUUUCAGCGUCAAUCCUUGAUGAAAGUAAAACAACCGAAAAUAAGGGAGUAUAAAUUUGACUGGACCAAACUAGACAGCCAGUUUGGUGUCCUAGCAGGGUCAUUAUGUAGCUGUGUUGUCUCCCCUGCUGUGUUCGAUUGGCGCACAAGCUUAAUUGCUGCCUCAAGCUCCUAAAACCUUGAUUGUUACCAAAAGCAGGCAUUUUGUUUGAUACACUACGUUUGAUAGUUUUGUCAGAAGUCUUUAGGAAUAAGCAGUCAAGUGAGCUCAUUAGUCACUCUAGUCAAGGCAGAAUGUGUGAUAUAUUCAGUUGGUAAAUGAGAGAUAUUUUCAUUGUAGUUUUGUCAAAUGUUUCAUUUUUAUGUGGGUUUUAAACAUACCUCUGGCUAUUUUCAUCAUAGACCUUUUUUUCUGACCCAUGUCCGUCAAAACAAGGAUUUUUUAAAUGAUAUUAUCUCAUCAGCAGCAAUUUCUAGAGAAGCAACUCCUCCCUUAAAUUAGGAGCGAGUUUGCACGUCAACAUUAAUACUGAUGCUUUGACACAGACUUGUUUUCUUUUCCCAUCUCUGGCUAUCACCAUGCCCUCCAGAGAAAUGCAGAAUUGUACAAGGGCUGUCAGGUCAUUGGUAAACUGCAAAUGAAUUACAGACAUGACUUGUUUGAGUUUAAUUUUGGUGAAAGAAAACUCACUGACUGCCUUUGGGGCUGUUUUGUUGUUUUUUUCGCAUUGAGUUCACACCAAAGGCAAAGUGAAUUUUCGUGAUAUGUUAUUAGCUCAAGCUCGGCCUUUAUGCUAGUUAAUCAUGACCCAUGGACAUUCUCUUUCUAGAUAUGUUGAAAACACAGUGCUGUUAUGUCUGGGUUCAUAACAUCACCCAGAGGCGCAAUGGCUUGGUCAGUUUCAGCACCCUGUCAAGAAACUGCGUCUGAUUUAGCUUUACUGCUGCUUCAAGCUACUCAAGGUUGACCAGCUCCUAGCUCCUGGGGUUAGGAAUAAAGUACCAUUCUUCUGAUCUGGCUUCAGAGCAAAUGUAUGUUUGUCAUUUGCACCACGUUAUCACACUGAUGGUAAAGGCUGCUAUGUAUAGAACCCAUCAGUCUUUGACUAAUCCCAUUCACACACCAUUGGACACUGCUAGCAGGGGCGGGUGGGGUCAAGUGUCUAACAAGUUUUAACAACCAUUAGUUAAUGACAGAUAGUGAAUCAUUAGCUACUCAGUUGAAUCAGAUUAGCAGUUGCUCACUAUCUACGCAUUAACAAACUUUUGACUAGCUGUUAGUUGCUCCAUCAUCACCCAGUAGCUUUGCAACAUCUGUGUACCCUAUUGUAAAAUGUUUCUGAAUUUUCAAAUUCAGUUUGGUAAGUAACUUGUAUUAGUUCACUUUACUUUAUUGAAUUAUUUGGUUGCAUGCAGGGAUGCACCGAUAUGAAAAUUCUUGGCUGAAACCAAAAAUGAGGGAACCGAAACACUGUAAGAAAUUAUUAUGCCAACUAUUGGUACCAUUACAUUUAUGGCUAUGACUGUGGACUAACCUCACUAAAAUCAAGGCAUUGCAAUUGCAUGAUAUUAAAUAUUAAAUUCAAAAUAAUUCAUGUAAACACACUCAAUGUGCUCUAUCAGCCUACAAAAUCCCAAGUCCUCUAUGACAGAGAACUGCUGGUCAUCUAAGGCAAUGAAGUCCAUAAUUUUUUUGUGUAAUGCCCUUUGCUUUGGCACCAUCACCGGUUAAUUUUCUUGACUUUUAGAAAACUAUUCACCACAGACGGAGUAAGUGUGCUCAGAGGGAUUUUCCUUUUUCUGUGCCGUGUUCUGCUUGUAUUCACAUUAGCGAUUGGGAAAUUUGGAUUUCAGGCGAUAAAUUAAACCUGAUGUGAAGAAACUUUUUCGCGCAUGCACCCCCUCUUGAAACUUCAGCAUUACAAGCUUUGCAAAUUGCUAUCCUUAGUUCUCAGAGGUAUUGACAUACAUCCACACUGCAGACAUGUUGGCCCUUAUCCGGAAAACAUCUUUUUUGUUUCGAUGUCUUUUGGCUGAGAUUUCGUUAAAAAACAUAAUUUCCUGUAAAAACAUAUAAGGCUUCUUUUUAGAUCCUCUUUUGCAAAACUCUGAGCACAAACUCAAAGCCAUGCUCAGAGCCCGCUCCUUGAACCCUGAAACGACGUCCGACUCAAAGCAGACAUGGUGUUUACACAGAGAGCACGUCACACAGAGCAUUUAAAACUGAAGCAUUGCAGAUGUAGUUUCAGUACAGUGAUACUGUGUGUGGUAGCCACAGUCAGAGCUCCAGUCUCGUGUUGUAAACACUGAGCUGAGGCAGCACUUCUGAGUGGUCUGGAGUGGAAAGAUGAUUCUGUAGUUGAACGUGCUGACCCACAAACCUCAAACAGUAAGGGAGUGAUCACCGGGAGCUGGGCCACCCACUGAAUGCAAAAACACACACACACACACACACAAUUGUUUAUACAGUGUAUACAAAUAACAGUGUAUAGUGACAAAGAAGAAAAACAAGCUAAAACCUGUUUGAACCUGGAGAAGGAUGCAAGAGCCUUCAGAAGACAAGGAAAGGAAGGGCGAUGGGAGGAACGAGUGAGGAGAGCUUUUCUCCUCUGCCCCUUUACAAUGACACUGCUCAGCUUGACAGUAUGAACACCUCAAACUGCAGGCACACGGAGAAAGCUGCAUACAUACUGCUCUAUUUUAGACAACUAUGUUUGUGUGUGUUUGUGUGUGUGUGUGUGAGAGAGAGAGAGAGAGAGAGAGAGAGAGAGAGAGAGAGAGAGAGAGAGAAAGAGAGAGAGAGGGAGAGAGAUCAGUAGUGCAGGUAGGUGUGUUUGCUUGUUGCGGUUUUGUAAAUUAGUUUAGCAAGGGUUUAUUUGCCUGUAAACAUAAUUAUAGUUGACAUGUCUGUGUGUCUUUUUGUGUGUCUGUGUUUGUAUGCAUAAGGCUGAUUCAGUCAUGACUAAGGAUAUUUAAGCCUGAGUUUGGCUGUUUCCAUCUUACAGAUGAUUUGACAUGAGACAAAGCGACACAUGCAGCUUACUAACAAAAACAAGCACAAAUGUCUACAACAAAUACUAUUAUUUACAUUCUGUUACUUCAAAGGGUUUGACUUCCCAGCUAAACAGUCCCUGCAGAGGUAUGUUUAGAAACAGCUUUAGACUUAAUAUCAUACCAUAAGCCUCCUUUACUUACACAAUACUUAAUAUUUCCGAACAUUUGCCUCAAAUUCCUUUCUUGCUUACUUUUCCAGAUAUCCUUCACUCCCCAGUUUAAAAGAGUUCAGUCACAGGAAGCAAUACAAGUCACAAAAGCAUGCUGCAAAAACCACAGUGCUGUAUAAUUUUCACAACCUGAUGGUAGACAAAGCAAGAGAGAGCUGAACUAUGAUUAUAGCUUUCGUAUAUACAAGGAUGCUACAUGUAAACGUACGCUUAUGCAGAUAUCUACACUAUUGCACUGUGUUUGCACUGACUGCAUGAUACAAACGUCUUUGGCCAACUGCUUGUGGCGAACUUUUCUGCUGCAUUCUUACACUGGCUCACCCUUUUACCUUACAGGGGGGCUGGUAAAAACUCUGAAUUAAGUCAGGGGAGUUUUGUGAUAUAUGAAUACAGCUGUGUUGGAAAUGAUUGGACCCCACUGGCUAGGAUGACCAUAGGUCCUCUUUUACUUGGACAUGUCCUCUUUUUUGGGAGCUGUCCAGCC
This is a non-coding RNA of Xyrichtys novacula (pearly razorfish), 5977 nucleotides long. Lineage: Eukaryota; Metazoa; Chordata; Actinopteri; Labriformes; Labridae. The record is from the annotation of a GenBank genome assembly.